Molecule: ribosomal RNA, 497 nt
Filed under: uncultured bacterium
Lineage: Bacteria
Description: partial 16S ribosomal RNA
Rfam family: Bacterial small subunit ribosomal RNA
Source: RNAcentral
GAUGAACGCUGGCGGCGUGCCUAAUACAUGCAAGUCGAGCGAACAGACGAGGAGCUUGCUCCUCUGACGUUAGCGGCGGACGGGUGAGUAACACGUGGAUAACCUACCUAUAAGACUGGGAUAACUUCGGGAAACCGGAGCUAAUACCGGAUAAUAUAUUGAACCGCAUGGUUCAAUAGUGAAAGACGGUUUUGCUGUCACUUAUAGAUGGAUCCGCGCCGCAUUAGCUAGUUGGUAAGGUAACGGCUUACCAAGGCAACGAUGCGUAGCCGACCUGAGAGGGUGAUCGGCGACACUGGAACGGAGACACGGUCCAGACUCCUACGGGAGGCAGCAGUAGGGAAUCUUCCGCAAUGGGCGAAAGCUUGACGGAGCAACGCCGCGUGAGUGAUGAAGGUCUUCGGAUCGUAAAACUCUGUUAUUAGGGAAGAACAAAUGUGUAAGUAACUAUGCACGUCUUGACGGUACCUAAUCAGAAAGCCACGGCUAACUACGUG